RNAcentral lists this ribosomal RNA (681 nucleotides) under Salmonella enterica subsp. enterica serovar Thompson. RNAcentral's name for it is "partial 23S ribosomal RNA". It matches the Rfam family "Bacterial large subunit ribosomal RNA", at positions 2250 to 2925 of the family's 2925-position model. The record is from RNAcentral. Lineage: Bacteria; Pseudomonadati; Pseudomonadota; Gammaproteobacteria; Enterobacterales; Enterobacteriaceae. RNAcentral also lists the same sequence under 5 other names.
GACAGUGUCUGGUGGGUAGUUUGACUGGGGCGGUCUCCUCCUAAAGAGUAACGGAGGAGCACGAAGGUUGGCUAAUCCUGGUCGGACAUCAGGAGGUUAGUGCAAUGGCAUAAGCCAGCUUGACUGCGAGCGUGACGGCGCGAGCAGGUGCGAAAGCAGGUCAUAGUGAUCCGGUGGUUCUGAAUGGAAGGGCCAUCGCUCAACGGAUAAAAGGUACUCCGGGGAUAACAGGCUGAUACCGCCCAAGAGUUCAUAUCGACGGCGGUGUUUGGCACCUCGAUGUCGGCUCAUCACAUCCUGGGGCUGAAGUAGGUCCCAAGGGUAUGGCUGUUCGCCAUUUAAAGUGGUACGCGAGCUGGGUUUAGAACGUCGUGAGACAGUUCGGUCCCUAUCUGCCGUGGGCGCUGGAGAACUGAGGGGGGCUGCUCCUAGUACGAGAGGACCGGAGUGGACGCAUCACUGGUGUUCGGGUUGUCAUGCCAAUGGCACUGCCCGGUAGCUAAAUGCGGAAGAGAUAAGUGCUGAAAGCAUCUAAGCACGAAACUUGCCCCGAGAUGAGUUCUCCCUGAGACUUAGAGUCUCCUGAAGGAACGUUGAAGACGACGACGUUGAUAGGCCGGGUGUGUAAGCGCAGCGAUGCGUUGAGCUAACCGGUACUAAUGAACCGUGAGGCUUAACCUU